UCCAGACUCCUACGGGAGGCAGCAGUGGGGGAUAUUGCACAAUGGGGGGAACCCGGAUGCAGCGACGCCGCGUGGGUGAAGGAGCGUUUCGGCGCGUAAAGCCCUAUCGGCAGGGAAGAAGGAGGACGGUACCUGACUAAGAAGCCCCGGCUAACUACGUGCCAGCAGCCGCGGUAAUACGUAGGGGGCAAGCGUUAUCCGGAUUUACUGGGUGUAAAGGGGGCGCAGACGGCAGCGCAAGCCAGGAGUGAAAGCCCGGGGCCCAACCCCGGGACUGCUCUUGGAACUGCGCGGCUGGAGUGCAGGAGGGGCAGGCGGAAUUCCUGGUGUAGCGGUGAAAUGCGUAGAUAUCAGGAGGAACACCGGUGGCGAAGGCGGCCUGCUGGACUGCGACUGACGUUGAGGCCCGAAAGCGUGGGGAGCAAACAGGAUUAGAUACCCGAGUAGAU
Molecule: ribosomal RNA, 449 nt
Filed under: uncultured bacterium
Lineage: Bacteria
Description: partial 16S ribosomal RNA
Rfam family: Bacterial small subunit ribosomal RNA
Source: RNAcentral